GUUUGACUACCUCAAGGUAGAUGGUUGGUAUACAUUAGGUCCAGUCUAGUGUAGUGUGACUACCUCAAGGUAGAUGGUUGGUAUACAGUACGUCCAGUUUAGUGUAGUGUGACCACGGCAAGGUAGAUGGUUCCUAGCCUGUGUAGCCAGGUGGUGGUGCAAGGACAGUGGUGGGGUACCCGAGUGUCCGUCUGUUCUGUCCGUGAUGUCAGAGGAUGUCCUCCCGCCGGGCCAUGUCACGGGACGCUAGCGGGGCUGUCAGUCACAGCGUCAGUGGUGUGUCAGUGGUAGCUUGGUCUUCUGCUGGGAACAUCGGACUAUCACUGACCAGUGUCUAGGUGUGCCAAGUAUGGCUGGCAUGAUUGGAAGCAUGUAGAAUGUUAUACAUAGCGCCCUCCCUAGUAUAUCUACUCAGGAAAUGUAUUCAUUUGUCCCCCUUUGAUUCAUUUAUUGCAAAGGUAUGUUUACCAGGAAAGUACUAGCUACAACUAUUGCUUAUACCAUUGUAUACCACAGAGAGUUUUAUCACUAUAUCACAAGGAUCUUGUUGGCUUGCAGUAACGACUUAUUAUCAUGUUGGCUUUUUUGGGUUUCCUUUUGGUUGUACAUGUAUUUGGAAGAGCAACUUUUUGACCUUG
Long non-coding RNA from Aplysia californica (California sea hare), 638 nucleotides. RefSeq lists it as uncharacterized. NCBI's taxonomy places the organism in Eukaryota, Metazoa, Mollusca, Gastropoda, Aplysiida, Aplysiidae. The record is from RefSeq and is a predicted model, not a curated record. The transcript is spliced from 2 exons.